This 80-nucleotide transfer RNA is filed under the name Blattella germanica (German cockroach). RNAcentral's name for it is "tRNA-Arg (CCT) (tRNA-Arg-CCT-11-1)". It matches the Rfam family "tRNA". From Rfam's summary of the family: Transfer RNA (tRNA) molecules are approximately 80 nucleotides in length. Lineage: Eukaryota; Metazoa; Arthropoda; Insecta; Blattodea; Blattellidae. The record is from RNAcentral.
ACCCUUGUGGCCUAAUGGAUAAUGGAUAAGGCAUCGGUCUCCUAAACCGGGGAUUGUGGGUUCGAGUCCCACCAGGGGUA